GUGUCAGCCGCCGCGGUAAUACGGAGGAUGCAAGCGUUAUCCGGAAUGAUUGGGCGUAAAGCGUCCGCAGGUGGUGAUGAAAGUCUGCUGUCAAAGAAUCAGGCUUAACCUGAUCAAGGCAGUGGAAACUACAUGACUAGAGUGCGUUCGGGGCAGAAGGAAUUCCUGGUGUAGCGGUGAAAUGCGUAGAUAUCAGGAAGAACACCGGUGGCGGAAGCGUUCUGCUAGGCCGUAACUGACACUGAGGGACGAAAGCUAGGGGAGCGAAUGGGAUUAGAUACCCCCGUAGUCC
Molecule: ribosomal RNA, 292 nt
Filed under: uncultured bacterium
Lineage: Bacteria
Description: partial 16S ribosomal RNA
Rfam family: Bacterial small subunit ribosomal RNA
Source: RNAcentral